RNAcentral lists this ribosomal RNA (252 nucleotides) under uncultured bacterium. Its description in RNAcentral is "partial 16S ribosomal RNA". It matches the Rfam family "Bacterial small subunit ribosomal RNA", at positions 525 to 776 of the family's 1533-position model. The record is from RNAcentral.
ACGUAGGAGACAAACGUUAUCCGGGGUUACUGGGCGUAAAGGGCGUGUAGGCGGUUUGUUAAGUCUGGCGUGAAAGCUCUCGGCUAAACCGGGAGAGGUCGUUGGAUACUGGCAAACUAGAGGACGGUAGAGGCGUGUGGAAUUCCGGGUGUAGUGGUGAAAUGCGUAGAUAUCGGGAGGAACACCAGAGGCGAAGGCGGCGAACUGGACAGCAACUGACACUCAACUGCGAAAGCGUGGGGAGCAAACAGG